UUGGUUAAGCUACUAAGAGCACACGGAGGAUGCCUAGGCGCCAGGAGCCGACGAAGGACGUGGCGAACAACGAAACUGCCUCGGGGAGCUGUAAGCAAGCUUUGAUCCGGGGGUGUCCGAAUGGGGAAACCCAGCUGUGGUAAUUCGCAGUUACUCGUAUCUGAAUACAUAGGAUACGCAGAGGCAGACCAGGGGAACUGAAACAUCUAAGUACCCUGAGGAAGAGAAAACAAUAGUGAUUCCGUCAGUAGCGGCGAGCGAACGCGGAACAGCCUAAACCAAGGGGCUUGCCUCUUGGGGUUGUGGGACGUCUCACAUGGAGUUACAAAGGAAUAUGGUAGGUGAAGAGGUCUGGAAAGGCCCGCGAUAGAGGUAAAAGCCCUGUAGCCUAAACUGUGUUCUCUCCGAGACGGAUCCCGAGUAGUGCGGGGCACGUGAAACCCCGUAUGAAUCCAGCAGGACCAUCUGCUAAGGCUAAAUACUACCUGGCGACCGAUAGUGAAACAGUACCGUGAGGGAAAGGUGAAAAGCACCCCGGAAGGGGAGUGAAAUAGAACCUGAAACCGUGUGCUUACAAAAAGUCAGAGCCCUCUUUAUGGG
RNAcentral lists this ribosomal RNA (600 nucleotides) under Paenibacillus sp. FSL R7-0333. RNAcentral's name for it is "bacterial LSU rRNA". It matches the Rfam family "Bacterial large subunit ribosomal RNA", at positions 1 to 592 of the family's 2925-position model. The record is from RNAcentral. Lineage: Bacteria; Bacillati; Bacillota; Bacilli; Caryophanales; Paenibacillaceae.